Molecule: non-coding RNA, 192 nt
Organism: Oryza barthii
Lineage: Eukaryota; Viridiplantae; Streptophyta; Magnoliopsida; Poales; Poaceae
Source: Rfam
UUUAAGUGUAACCAUAAGUUUUCGCGCUCUACUUUAAUAGUUCGUUUUAUUUGAAAACUUUUUAUAAUUAGUAUUUUUGUUGUUAUGAGAUGAUAAAACAUGAAUAGUACUUUACUCGUGACUUAUGUUUUUAUUUUUUUAAAUUAGACGGACGGUUAAAGUUAGACGUGGAAAAUCAUGACUGUACUUAAA